UAAUACGAAGGGUGCUAGCGUUGUUCGGAAUCACUGGGCGUAAAGCGCGCGUAGGUGGCUAUGCAAGUCAGAGGUGAAAGCCUGGAGCUCAACUCCAGAACUGCCUUUGAAACUGCAUAGCUAGAGUGUUGGAGGGGAUAGCGGAAUUGCUAAUGUAGAGGUGAAAUUCGUAGAUAUUAGCAGGAACACCGGUGGCGAAGGCGGCUAUCUGGACAACAACUGACACUGAGGCGCGAAAGCGUGGGGAUCAAACAGG
This 256-nucleotide ribosomal RNA is filed under the name uncultured bacterium. RNAcentral's name for it is "partial 16S ribosomal RNA". It matches the Rfam family "Bacterial small subunit ribosomal RNA", at positions 521 to 776 of the family's 1533-position model. The record is from RNAcentral.